AAGACUAUAGACCUGCGGAGUACCUGCGGAAGGAUCAUUAGUGAACGCCCUCACGGGCUUAUAACUAUUCCAAACCUCUGUGAACCGUGCCCUUCGGGGCUAUUUUACAAACAUGGUGUAAUGAACGUCAUAUAUCAUAACAGAACAAAACUUUUAGCAAUGGAUCUCU
RNAcentral lists this unclassified non-coding RNA (169 nucleotides) under soil metagenome. Its description in RNAcentral is "partial contains 5.8S ribosomal RNA, internal transcribed spacer 2, and large subunit ribosomal RNA". The record is from RNAcentral.